AUUGAACGCUGGCGGCAUGCCUUACACAUGCAAGUCGAACGGCAGCAUGGAGAGCUUGCUCUCUGAUGGCGAGUGGCGAACGGGUGAGUAUAGCAUCGGAACGUACCGUGUAGUGGGGGAUAACGUAGCGAAAGUUACGCUAAUACCGCAUACGCACUGAGGUGGAAAGCAGGGGAUCGUAAGACCUUGCGCUAUACGAGCGGCCGAUGUCAGAUUAGCUAGUUGGUAGGGUAAAGGCCUACCAAGGCGACGAUCUGUAGCGGGUCUGAGAGGAUGAUCCGCCACACGGGGACGGAGAAACGGCCCAGACUCCUACGGGAGGCAGCAGUGGGGAAUUUUGGACAAUGGGGGCAACCCUGAUCCAGCCAUGCCGCGUGAGUGAAGAAGGCCUUCGGGUUGUAAAGCUCUUUCGGCCGGGAAGAAAUCGCACAGGCUAAUACCCUGUGUGGAUGACGGUACCGGCAUAAGAAGCACCGGCUAACUACGUGCCAGCCGCCGCCGUAA
Molecule: ribosomal RNA, 504 nt
Filed under: uncultured bacterium
Lineage: Bacteria
Description: partial 16S ribosomal RNA
Rfam family: Bacterial small subunit ribosomal RNA
Source: RNAcentral